This 433-nucleotide ribosomal RNA is filed under the name uncultured bacterium. Its description in RNAcentral is "partial 16S ribosomal RNA". It matches the Rfam family "Bacterial small subunit ribosomal RNA", at positions 29 to 507 of the family's 1533-position model. The record is from RNAcentral.
AGCGAACGCUGGCGGCAGGCCUAACACAUGCAAGUCGAACGAACUCUUCGGAGUUAGUGGCGGACGGGUGAGUAACACGUGGGAACGUGCCUUUUGGUUCGGAAUAACUCAGGGAAACUUGUGCUAAUACCGAAUGUGCCCUUCGGGGGGAAGAUUUAUCGCCCUUCGAGCGGCCCUCGUCUGAUUAGCUAGUUGGUGAGGUAACGGCUCACCAAGGCGACGAUCAGUAGCUGGGUUGAGAGGAUGACCAGCCACACUGGGACUGAGACACGGCCCAGACUCCUACGGGAUGCAGGAGUGGGGGAUCGUGCGAAAUGGGCGAAAGCCUGACGCAGCCAUGCCGCGUGAAUGCUGAAGGUCUUAGGAUUGUAAAAUUCUUUCAACGGGGACGAUAAUGACGGUACCCGGAGAAGAAGCCACGGCUAACUUCGUG